This is a long non-coding RNA of Malus domestica (apple), 400 nucleotides long. RefSeq lists it as uncharacterized. The record is from RefSeq and is a predicted model, not a curated record. Lineage: Eukaryota; Viridiplantae; Streptophyta; Magnoliopsida; Rosales; Rosaceae.
CUAUGGGAUUUGCUGACAAAGAGUCUCUGAUUUAGGGAGGGGGAGUGAGACAGAGAGAGGGAGUUCAUGGUAAUGGUGGAGGAUGCGCAAGAUAGCGAGAGCCCUCUGAAGGAGGCGCACGAUAUCCAGUCCCAGAUUAAGAGUGCUAUGCAGUCACGCGUCCCUUGCUUAAAAGAACUAUCCGAGUCAUAUAUUUUGCCAUCUUAACUUGAAGGGCGAUAUAAGUGUUAAAUGCAUGUUGCUUCUGUUUCUCAGGAAACAGAGCAUUUUUUUGCAACUGUAUCUUUUGUAAUCAGCUCGGUUGAAUGUUCACUGUCUUAUUCAUGUGGUUAAGGCUGGUGCAUUCAAGUCCCGCAGCAACGCGCGGGCAUUUUUGCUAGUGUAAACUAAAGUUGAAUCG